CCCACGCACUCAUCUGAUGACUUUUAUUACCAAGGUACCAACUUUCCCUGCAACCUCUUUAUAACACCCUUUUCUGUUUUCCAUGAAUUCAUUUAAAUCCCUAACCCAAAGUAAAGAGUCAAAAUCAAAUCAAAUCUUCAUAAAUUGUAAAUUAGAAACUCCCAGAUUCAGAAGUUUACUCGUUUACCUCUGAAAUGGCGUCCGGUUUGUUACCAUUUCGGCCACUGACAAUCGUUAGAGCUAGUAUCAGCGCCGAUGACCGGAAACCUGAAGCUAAAAAAUCUUCAUCGUACCACUGGUGGGCUCCGCUGUUCGGAGUUUCGUCGGAGCCGGACUAUUUACAGUCUGACUAUAAGAAGAGCAACCCGGAUCCGAUAGAAGCGAGGUCCCGGUUCACUCCGGGAUCUUUCACGGAGGAAAAGGCAAAGCAGCUCCGGAGGAUGACAACUAAUACGUCGUCGCAUGAUAUGUAUCACUCCGCCAUUGCAUCAAGGCUCGCCUCCGAUUUCGCUGAUCGGCGUACUACGUGAGUGAUGUGUUUUUUAUUAAAUAAUUUGUAUAAAUAUUUAAAAAUUGUUAGAAGGCGAUGUGAUGAUGUGGAUCUGAUCCGUAAGCUUGUAAUAUCUUAAUCAAUAGGAUUGUAUAAUUAGAUCAAUACUUUAUCCGAAUUAUUAAUGUAAUGGAAUGCAUAUGUGGCAUUUUUCUAUUAGGAGUUGGAUAAAUAAUUGAUUAAGCUGGGGUCGAAGUGAUUUAAUUGGCGCUUUUGGUUUAACUUUAGAAAAUUGAUAUUUUAUCAAAUUUUCAAUUACAUAUUUAUUAAUUUUUAUUAAAAAUUAAUUUUUAAUAAAAUUGAACACGGUCUAGAUGCCAUCAUAUUUCUGAAAAAUAAAUUUUUUGAAGAAUACGUAACGCUAUAAGUGCUUUGCAUCAAUUCUUGCACUACCUAAAUUGAUAUUAAACACUUGAGUCCAUAUAGCAGUAUGGGCUUGUACUAGGGUCUGUUUGGUAGAAAUUUUGAGAAUUGAUUUUUUGAUCGUUAAGAAAAAAGUGGGGAUUAUUUGUGAUAGAAGAAGUCAAAAAUUAUAGUUGGAAUAAUGAAAUAACGAUAAAAAAAUCAAAUUUUUUUGAAUGAAAAAUCACUCCCUAACAGGGCCCUAAGCACCCGUUGUAGUGCAUGUUAUUACUAAAUUGAUAGAGAUGUUUUCACCCGUACUAACAAGUUCAAGUGGCCAUCUUUUUAUGACAAAUAUAAAUUCUUAUAGAAGAUAAUAAUAUAAAAUAAAUUUAUUAUUUGUCCAACAAUUAGACGUGCAGACGCUCAAGGCUUCAAAAUCCAUUUACAAAAUUGAAUGUGAUAGUAUUGAAAAGUGUGAAAAUACAAAUAUAAAGAAAUUAUCAUUAUUUGAUUGUAAUUGAUUGAUUAAGGGGGAAAUUCUUUUAAUGAAAGUGAUUUGAAAGUAAAUUAGUAAUUAGGGAAGUAAAGAGGUUCAUGGAGUCGCUCAACCUAAUAAAAUAGAAAAAAAUUGCUUCGGGGUCCUUAUCAUUUGAGUUCUCAACGAUUACUUGACAUUUAUGGUUGGAAACUUUUAAGUUUGGAAUACCCUAGAUCAUAAUAGAUGGCUUCUGUUGAUCUUGCAGUGAAAAACACAUGACUCUAACUUUUUGAAGUUAAUAUUGGCAAAUCAUUGAUUUUAAUUAUAAAAAAAGAAAGAAAAAAAGGUUGUAUACUUCGGCUUCUAAUAGAAAUAUGGAUAAAAAAUUAAAAAAUUCAUUGACCACCCAAAUCAUGUGCCUCUUGAAUCAGUGAAUAACUGAAUCCUAGGACCUUCUUCAACAUCUGAAUGUGAUAAGUCGUCGUCGUGUGCCAAAUGAGUUAUUACAACCUUAAGAAGUUUUUUGAAAUAAAGUAUUCCAACUGUUACGCCCCCAUCUGAAACACUUCGGAAAGUUUACCACCGCGUCUUACAAGGUGUGCAACACCCAUCCGAAGUGGUUCCGAAGUGGGGAUCAUCAUCUGCUAACACACUGCAAGACACAGACAAUCUACUGAACUGGUCGAGCCUCCCUCGCCCCUGAAAUCGAAGUUCUCUGCUAAAGGAUCUGCUGCCAAUUUGAGAAAGAGAUCUAAGUCAAGAUCAUUUUUGCCCCCAAGAUUCAAUUGAUUUGACGUCUCUAUGAGCCUAGUCGAUGUGACGUAUCAACUUUAUGUCAACUCAACUUGGGAGAAGUAAUUACCCGCCCACUCUAUAGACGCGGCCGAUUGACGCCUAUGAGCAGACGUCUCACACCGUCAUAUGCGUACACGUGUCCCACAUCCAACGGUUCUUAUCAUCUAUAAAUACCCAGGGUUUAACAAGAGGUAAAGGUAAUGAAACUCUUACAACAUAACUUUCCAUAACAAGCAAAUACAUAUUCUCUUCCCCUCUACUUUGCACAACCUUGGUAUUGUUCCGACCACCUGAGACUAACUUAACCGUCGGAGUGUAUACGGUCGCCACCACCCCCGUUGGUUCUAGCCGUGUGCAUCUGACCGUGCGUUGACUGUGCGCCGGGAGGAAUACGUGGAUUAGCUAUCGGUUGGCCAUGUAGAGGGUCCAAUUUGCGAGGUCAACAUAUUGGCAUCAUCUGUGGGAAACUUUCCAUUCAAAGUUCUGCAUUUUCCACCGGAGAAACCACCCAAAAACCAGUGACUUACCCUGAAAAGGGCACGUUCUUGAAGAAGAACAAAUUCGAGUUAUAAUCCAAAUUCUUAUCACCCUUGAAAAAGGACAUAAGAUGAGUUACAGCCAUGAAGACGAAAAUCCUAUGAGAGAGGCCUCUGAAGAAGAUGUGCUCUGUAACAAUGUCACUCACCAGAGACCCCAUCACCACCGUCACCGAGGUGAAAGGACAGCCAUGCUCACUGAAGGAAUGGCUCAAAUAGCUGCAGGCAUGAGAGACAUCGCAGCCCAGAAUACGGCAAUACAUGAACUUCUCAUGCAAGCCCGAGGUCACCAGGGCUCUCAAAUGCCCCAAGGAUCUUAUCCAAUUCAGGAAACCCCAGCAUCUUGUUCUCAAGGCCAUGUGAGCCAGCACAGAGAGCGCCCCCUCGAAAGAGAAGUGGGUGCUGAAGCCACAUCCUGUUUGCAAGGGAGCCACCACAAUUGGGGGAUAAUUUCCCUCAAGAAUAUGAAGCACAAAAGUCAGUCAGCAUCUUCGAUCGAAUAGGGCAGGACCCUAGUAAUAGGGUCCACUCAGUAUGAAGAUCAGUUCGGCAAGAACAGGAGCAAGAUCAAGCACCUCCUCCUCUUAGAAAUGGGAAGGAGAGAAGGAACUUAGUUGAUUGGGGGAGUCGAGGAGAAGCACCUCCACCUCCCCAGAACAUUCAAGAUGAUGAAGGGUUAGAUAAACCUUAUCGAUCCUUUGAAAUUGACGAUGAUGAUGAUAACCUUCCUUUCUCAAAGAAAAUUCGAAGUUUUCCAAUGCAUGCGAAUUUCAUGCCCCCUAAGAUCCCUAAGUAUAAAGGAAAGGGGGACCCGGAGAAGCACCCCACCAAGUACAUGACACAGAUGAGCCUAAGGAGAGCCUCGCCUUCUUUGAAGUGCCGAGCCUUCUACUUAACCUUGAGCGGAGCUGCUGACGUGUGGUACAACAGACUUUCUCCCCUGAGCAUUAGGAGUUGGCCGGAUUUAAAGAAUGCGUUCUUGAACCAAUACCUCUCACGCAGAGAAGGAGAGGCCCUAGUGCAAUGCCUGCAAGAUAUGAAGCAGGCCCCUAGAGAGACGCUAAGAAGCUAUCUCGCUAGGUUUACCGACGAAAUCACGUAUUACGAGCAGGUCACUGAUAGAGAAGCCUUUUCAGCCUUUAAAGGCAGCUUCAACAUGAACACUUUGUUCUGGAGGGAUGUGCGCAACAAAAAUCCCACCACUUAUGACGAGCUGGAAGAAAUGAUGAGAGUUGAGAUCGUCAGCGGAGAGAUCAUUGAUCACAGAAAUCGUGUAGCGCAGGGACUCCCUUCGCCUCAGAGGCACGUAGGUCGAGGAUCGCAGCACACCUUAUCACUCAGCAAUGGACUCAAGCAGGUCAUACAAUAGCUCCCACCUCCGGACAGGCACUGGCUUCAGCCACGCUAAAUGCAGUCCCGGUGUUGGCAUACGAGAAUUUCCCUGGCAAAACAGGGCCAUCUGGAGGAACCGAUAAUAGUAAGAAGAAGAAAAAGAAGCGAUCAAACAGGCCCUUGGAAGGAGCAAUUUUUUGCACUUUCUACCAACUCUAUGGGCAUGACACCAGCGAGUGUAGAGAUGCUAAUCGACUCCCGGAUCAAAGUAACCCACAUCCCUCUAGGAGGAACGAAUAUCCUCGCAGAUCCGCCUCCCCGAACAGGGGAGAGAGAAGGCAUAGAGAAUAGUCACCCUAGAGAAGAGAAUCAAGAGAUCGAGGACAGUCCAGACAGAGAGAUCAGGCCCCAUUUUCUGGGAGCCAAGUCAUCAGGAAGAUCGACACGAUCAUUGGGGAACCUCACAUCGGUGGCAACACCAGGAACGUCCAAAGGAAUUACACAAGGGAAGCAAAGGACCCGCCAAUACUUACCUACAUUAUAAAUGAGUCCCAAGUGGCCAAUAGGAUGGCCCCAAUCACCUUCUUCCAGGAAGAUGUAGAAGGAGUUCACCACCCCCAUUGUGACGCAUUGGUUGUGAGAGCCGUAGUGGCAAGAAAUGGGCUCAAACGCAUGCUUGUCGACAAUGGCAGUUCGGUGAAUAUACUAUUCGGCUCUACCUUCGACAGAAUGCAAAUUGAACAUGGGUUGAUCCCCAUGACCGAUCCACUGUUCAGAUUUACUGGAGACAGCAUCGUCCUACAAGGGCGGAUAACUCUGCUCGUUGAGAUGGAUUCAGCUCCUCUAGUGGCCCAACAGUUCAUUGAAUUCUUGGUGGUCGACCAUAGAUCGGCCUACCAUGGAGUAUUGGGAAGACCGGCCUUAAAAGAUCUUUGGGCUGUCACCUUCAUUCAUUACUUGAGUAUGAAAUUCCCGACUAAACAUGGGAUUGCCACGGUACGAGGCGACCAGAUGGGCUGCAGGGCUUGUUACUUAAACUCUUUACGAAAAUCGGAGCCCCGAACUGUUAAUGUGAUCAUAACUGAAGUUGCCAGCGAACCCAAUUUGGACGUGAAAAUGAUCGACGCCCCUGAACAAGGGCAUACUUCCGAACAGGGGGAAGACGUCGACAUGGAAGAAGCCCCUGAGAAAGGGCACCCUCUUGAUGAAUUAGAUCCUCGGAUCAUCGACUCCGAGCCAAAUACAACCCCAGUGGAAGAACUUGAGACUUUCAUCGCCAACCCAGAGGACCCCAAUCAGGUCCUGCGAAUAGAAAAUGCACUGUCCCCCGAAGCACAAGAAGAAAUGGUGAGCUUCCUGAAAAGGAACUUGGAUGUCUUCGUUUGAAAGCAUGAAGACAUGGUGGGAAUAGAUCCAAGGAUCAGUUACCAUCAUCUUAACAUCAACUCCACCUGUGCCCCCCACAGAGGCAGAAAAUACGUGCCCUCAACCCGGAGCGGUAUGAGGCACUCAAAGACGAAGUAGACAAAUUUAGCUACAGCGGUUUCAUCAGAGAAGCUAUCUACCCAAAGUGGAUAUCCACCCCGAUCCUGGUAAAAAAGCCCAGCGAAAAGUGGAGGGUAUGCGUAGACUUCACAAACUUAAAUAAGGCAUGCCCCAAAGACAGCUUCCCAUUUCCAAGGAUAGACCAACUUGUGGAUUCCACCGCCGGACAUGAACUCUUGAGCUUCAUGGAUGUAUACUCAGAGUAUAACCAGAUACCCAUGUUCCGACCCGAUGAGGAGGCUACGUCAUUCAUCACAGAUAGGGGACUGUACUGCUAUAAAGUCAUGCCCUUCGAAUUGAAAAAUGUUGGAGCAACAUAUCAGAGGCUGGUAAACAUAAUGUUUGCCGAACUCAUUGACAAAACCAUGGAGGUCUACAUGGAUGACAUGCUAGUCAAAAGCCUUCAGGCCAACGAACACGUAAGUCACCUCGACCAAACCUUUUAGAUACUUAGAAAAUAUAAAAUGAAGUUGAACCCCCUCAAGUGCACCUUUGGAGUGGCUUCGGGUCAGUUCUUGGGAUACAUUGUAAACUAAAGAGGGAUCGAAGUAAACCCAGUAAAGAUAAUGGCCUUGCUUGAAAUGAGGUCACCUCAGAAACAAAAGGAGGUCCAAAGCCUCAAUGGUCGGAUAGCAGCACUGAAUCGUUUCAUCUCCAGAGCCACAGAUAAGAGCUUACCCUUUUUCAAUGUGCUAAAGUAAGGAAAGAAGUUUCAAUGGACUUUUGAGUGCAAAGAAGCCUUCCAAGCACUGAAGAAACACUUAGGAGAGGCACCUCUGUUGUCAAAACCUCAACUGGAAGAGCCACCACUAAUGUACUUGGCAGUUUCGGACGAGGUGAUCAGCGCUGUCGUAGUCAGAGAAGAAAAUGGGCACCAGUUACUGGUAUACUGAGCACUCCUCCCAGCUGAAACAUGCUACCCAGACAUGGAAAAAUUGGCACUCGCUUUUAUUACAGCCUCAAGAAAACUGAGACCAUACUUCCAGGCCCACUCAAUUGAAGUUCUCACCAACUUCUCAUUAAAGCAAGUGCUGCAAAGAACGGACGCAUCAGGACGCCUGCUAAAAUAGGCAAUCGAGCCUAAUGAGUUCGACAUACUGUUCCGACCUCGACAUGCCAUCAAGGGCCAGGCCAUUGCAGAUUUUGUGGCUGAGUUUGCCAAAGUCCAAGAAAUGGAGGCAACAAUGGAACCAGCUGAGCCCCCAAAGUGGAAACUGUUCGUUGAUGGAUCCUCAGGAGAGGCCGGCUCCGGGGCAAGGAUCGUCUUGAAAAGCCCCGAAGGCCACAAGCUAAAUUACGCAGUAAGGUUCGGCUUCAAAGCAUCGAACAACGUUGUCGAAUAUGAGGCCCUUCGGCAGGCCUUAGACUGGCAAGGGAAAUGUAGGCCAGAAGGCUUCCAGCAAGUAGCGAUUCUCAGCUGGUAGUGAGUCAGGUCAAUGGAAACUUCGCAGCUAAAGACAGUAGCAUGGUUGCAUACUUGAAAUUGGUUCUGGACCUAGUUCCCCAUUUUGAAAGGUUCGAGCCAAUUCAAGUCCCACGCCUAGAGAAUAGUCAUGCAAUUGCCCUGUCAAAACUGGCUAGCAGUAAGGAUUCAGAGCUACUAAAGAUUGUACCUAUUGAGCACUUAUCAAAGCCCUCUAUUUCCAGAGGUGAGGAGGUGCUAUGGAUAGAAGGCACCCCGGUAUGGAUGCAGCCCAUCAUCGCCUACCUUAAGGACCAAUCACUACCAGCUUCCAGAAGCGAGGCGAAGAAAUUAAAAAUGAGGGCUGCACACUUCGUCCUACAAGAUGUCCUUUACAAAAGAGGCAUCACCUCGCCACUUCUUCGAUGUGUAGGAGGCGAAGAAGCUAUGUAUAUACUCAGGAAAAUUCACGAGGGAAUUUGCGGGAAUCACUCCGGAGGAACGGCUCUGGUACACAAAGUGCUUCGACAAGGCUACUUUUGGCCGACCCUGAGAAGGGAUGCUUGCGAGUUUGUCCAGAAAUGUGAUAGGUGCCAACGGUUUUCAAAUAUUCAAAGGCAGCAUUCUCAGAGUCUCUCCGUAGUGACCAGCCAUUGGCCGUUCGCCAAAUGGGGCAUCGACUUCAUUGGCCCACUCCUAAAAGGAAGAGGAAGCGCGACUUUUGCCAUUGUCGCCAUCGACUAUUUCACCAAGUCGGUCCAAGCUGAACCUCUUGCCAAGAUUAACGAGGCAAAUAUAUAAAAUUCAUCUAGAAGAGCAUCAUUUGCAGAUUCAGCAUUUUCCGCUCCUUAGUAUCUAACAAUGGGAAACAGUUUGACAACAAGAAAAUGCGAAGCUAAUGUGACGAACUGGGCAUAAAGAAGGAUUUCUUAACGCCUCAUCACCCACAAGCAAAUGGGUAAGUUGAUGCUCUAAACAAAACAAUUAAGCAUACCCUGAAAAGGAAGCUUGACACCUCAAAAGGGGCUUGGGUUGAUGAGCUUCCCCACGUCCUCUGAGCCAUCAGGACAACUACCUAAACUGCAAUAGGGGAGACACCCUUCUCCAUGACCUACGGAGCCGAGGUCAUGAGCCGGUUGAGGUAGGGGUCCCAUCGCACCGUCGAAUACACUUCAAUGAGAUCAGUAACAACGACGCUCGAAUGAGCGAGCUCCACCUCCUUGAAGAAAUGAGGGAUACCUCCCAGGCGAACUUGGCGAAGUAUCAUAGAAAGAUGACCUGAUAUUAUAACUCCAAGGUCAGAAAUCGGACUCUUCGUCCGGGGGACCUCGUCCUUAGAAGGGUCUUCCAAUCAUCAAAGCCAACCGGGUUCUGAGUGUUGGGACCGAAUUGGGAGGGUCCUUACCGCAUACGUAGGGAAUCCUGACCUGGUACUUUUGAAAUUGAAGACAUGACAAGGAAAGUACUCCCUCAUCAAUGGAACAUCGAACAUUUGAGGAAGUACUAUCAAUAAUGAGUUUGUGUUCUGAUCCGAUCUUAAUGAUGUCUAGUAAACGUGUGUCAUGAUUCGAUCUCAUUUGUAACUUUCCUAUCUUACUAAGUGUUGAAAAUGCCUUAGUGAAGAGUGAUGUAGUUCCUUUUAAAUAAUGAUACUUCAGUCGCUUGUCACAUCGGCUAGUAAAUUGUUACUUCAGUUCGUCAAUAUGUCAAUUGAUCCGAUCUUCUGUUAUUAAUUGGUUAUUGGUAACGAGCGCUUAAGUGGUUAUCACACAUAAGUGUAAACAGCACAAUAAAAAAAUCAAAGCAAUAAUACUUGUACAAAAAUUUUUGUUUUCAUUCAUUUGGGAAUUGAAUUACAAGAGGCUGAAGCCAUUACAGAAAUUGAUCAACCCUACUCUACUGGGGCAUUUGCUGUCCCGACGUCCUCUGCCCUUGUCCCAGGGGCCUCUGGAGCGUCCUCAGCGAGCCUAUCAGGUCGACCUCCGGUAGGCCCACCAAACUCUGCCUCUAGCGAAGAUAUGUCCAAAGUAGGAUGAACCUCUUUCAGCCGACCCAAUAUCCCCUGGGCGCUCCAGGAAGCCUAGAAGUUAGCAACGUAGGCAUACAGGGGGUGCUCUUCAAAGUGGUCAAUAAAGUUCUGUUUAGCCACCUCCCCUACUGACUUCAGCUUCUCCUUCAAAGAGGCGAUUUCUUCAGCAUCGGUAUCCGCCCUCUGCCUCAGCUCUACCUUUUCUUUAUUGGAGGCCUCCAGAGCCCCUAUGGUGAGCCGGUGGUGCUCAUUUGCAUGAUCAACUCUUCGUGUCAUAGCAGCUACCUGGCACUCCACUUCAUAGAGCUCCUUCUUCAACCACUCUAUUUCCUCCUUUGCAACCCCCAGUCGGGCCUCAGCCUCCUUCCUUCCUUUCCCUUCCUCCUCGGCCUUGGCCCGGGCCUCUCUCACUGCAUCUCCAUAGUGCAUCGCCCCCUCAAGGCGCUUGGCGAGGUCCUCCCUCUUAGCGUUGAGGUCUUUUACCAAGCCCUCGAGUUGGAUGCUUGUGCUUAAGGCCCGGGCCAUAUAAGCACUGUUGGCCGCGACCAAAUCCUCGGCAGUGCAGGAGCCGGUGUGGUCUCUCCAUUCCUCGGUCCAAUACUUAUUGUAGACCACCACCACCGCUACUGUCUCUAGAGAAAGAGCCUCCAGCACUUCCUUCACUGGCUCCUCGGAAUUGACGCUCAAGAAGUCCACAUCUUUCGAGGGUCGGGCCCUUUUCCUCUUUUGCUGUCCCGGCGCUUGAGCAAUGGGCACAACCACGAUUGGCGAUGUGGCCGGGGUUGGAGAAGCCUCGGAAGACGUAGGUCUCUUCUCGGGGAUAACCACCUCGGUUGGAAUUGUCGUCUGCCUCAAAGCUGGGGACGGCCUCGCUACAGUUGGGCGCUUUGAGGGGGUGGCAGGCCUCUUCCCUUUCCACAGCAAAUUGGUGUCCGGGUGCUCCGCAACCUUCUCUUGAGUGGGAGGCUGGAGCCUCUUGUUGGCCUCCACCAGAUCCUCCAUCUGCUUUUUGUAUACAGACGAGGAGGUUUUCAAGGCUCUCGCCUUGGCCAUCAUCCUUUGGAUGGUUUUGAAGUCUGGCCUCAGAGGCAGCUUCUUAUUAAAGUUAUCUACAAAGAGACAGGCAAAUUAGUAUAAGUGUAAAUAGUUCGGAAAGUACUGAACGAAUUCGCUUCGGGACAUACCAUCAAAUCGUGCGUCACGAAGUGGACGUUUUUCCUUAUCAGCUGGUGGUAUGACCUCUUCUUCGAAGGCAGCUGAUAAAUAAUGCAGAUGAUGUUGAAGUCAUCGGUGGAAAGCUCGUACCGAGGAAGAGAACCUUCAAAAAACAAACAGAACAGUUAAUAACCGAACCGAAGAAGGAUAAACAAGAUGCACAAAGCCACAUAACUCACUAAGUGUUGAAUAUUUUAUGGGGAUCAUAAGAGGCGCCAAGGGGUCCCCCUCCAUCGUGUCCCAUCUCUCGGCAGCCUAGCACCACGAGCUCUUCCACCCCUUGAUGGAGCUCGACAGAUCAAGCACGAAUGGAGUGUGGGAACCCCAUGAGGUCAAGUAGUACCAGUCCCUAGUCUUAUCCCCCCCCCCAGUCGCUACCUUAGGGAUGUAGAUAGUCUGGAAUACAGAAAAAGGCAUAUCCACCCCAAGCGACGCCUCUUUCCACAACAUCCAGGAGCCCACCAUUUGACUCCAGAAGUUCGGGUUCAAUUGGGUAGGAGCUAAGCCGUAUGACCUAAGUACCAUAAGAAAGAAAGGGUGGAUUGGUAGCCUAAGGCCAGCACUAAGGAUCGUCUCGCUUAUUGCCACGCACCCCGGCCUAGGGUAGCAGGCCUGCUCAUCAGGUUCUGGUAGGAUCAGAUCUACAUCAUCUGGGAUCCUAUAUUCAGCCCUAAGUCUCUCCAGGUCGGCACCCUCUAGCUUAGAGGGGUAAUCUGACGCCCCUUAAUGCACAGAUGUGUCGGUCGGGCUAUCAGGCCUCUUCCAUAGGUUCUCCCCCCAAUAAUUGGCUCAUCUAUCUCAGAGGAGGUCGCCAAAAUGGGCUCAUCCAUCCUCACUAGUUCCAACCCCCUAUCCGAACUACCACUAUCCUCAGAAGCCAUUUUCAGAAAGGAAAACUUUUAAAUACUUACUGAAACUUUCGAAAUGGAAUGUCCCGCAACCAAAAACGGUCAAGAAACAACGUGAGUCACCGAAAACUGGGAAACAAUAUGAGUAGCCGAAAAUUGGGAUUUCUCUCCAGAAGUUGCUUGAAGAACGCCGAAAUGCAAUGAUUUCGAGAGAAAAUGGGGUUUUUGAUUUCGUCAAAGUGAAAAGGUCCAAAAUCCCUCAAUUCUGCCUUUUAUAGAGCGUCCCAGCUGAUCUACACUGUUGAAUUCAAAUGCAAUCAAUCUAGGCCGUCCGUCGCAUCGUCAAUCUAGGCCAUUGAAAUGAAACACCGGAUUUCAUAUAUACCUAAGAUCUAGCUGUAACCUUCACGCUUUUACGAAACGCGUUGCCUCGAUCACCAUCAGCCGUCUGCAAUAAGUAGCCGCAGCAGCCUUUUCUGGGAAUGGGCAUCGUGCCCAACUAUCACCUUGGAAAAACGGGACAACUGUCUAAUCAUUUAAAGUCAGAGAUGCCCGUCUCAGAUCAAGCUCUUCACACAGCUUUACAAAGUUUAGACGCAUCUGAUGUAGAGCCCUCAUGUGGGUCAUCACCUCGGAAGCUGUGUUCUCUCCUAAACUUUACAAAGCUUUAACCAUCUCCCAACACGUUGUCCCCUGUGGGUCAACGCACCGGUGGCAGAUGAGCUCUUUACAUAGCUUUACAAAGCUUAGACGCAUCUGAUGCGGAGCCCCUCUUGUGGAUCAUCGUUUCGGAAUCUGUGUUCCCUCCUAAGCUUUAGCCAUCUCCCCACGCAUCGUUCCCUGUAGGUUAACGCACCGAUGGCAGAUGAGCUCUUCACACAGCUUUACAAAACUUAGACGUAUCUGACUUGGAGCCCCCUGUGGGUCAUCGCCUCAAAAGUUGCGUUUCCUCCUAAGCUUUACAAAGCUUUAGCCAUUUCCCAACGCGUCGUCCCCUAUGGGUCAACGCGCCGGUGGCAGAUGAGCUCUUCACACAGCUUUACAAAGCUUAGACACAUCUGAUGCGGAGCCCCCCUGUGGGUCAUCGCCUCGAAAGCAACGUUACAAAUCUUUAUCCAUCUCCUAACGCAUCGUCCAGUUGGCAGCACAUCGGCCUCGGAUAAGUUCUUCCCUUACACAGUAAUGAGUCUUUAGCGCAUCUGCCUGUGGUCAACGCUUCGAUGAACACAGAAAAUCGACCCAUAAGCCCUCACAAAUCGCGGUCCCCAUCCCAAGGCGGACAUACUCGAUCGGAAAAACAAGUCCACCCGUGAUAUAAAUAUUCAUACCUGAACUUGGACGGACCACUGUUACGCCCCCAUCUGAAACACUUCGAAAAGUCUACCACCGCAUCUUAUGAGGUGUGCAACACCCAUCCGAAGUGGAACUACCAUCUGCUAACCCACUGCAAGACACAGACAAUCUACUGAACUGGUCGAGGCGCCCUCGCCCCUGAAGCCGAAGUUCUCUGCUAGAGGAUCCGCGCCAAUUUCAGAAAGAGAUCUAAGUUAAGAUCCUUUUUGCCCCCAAGAUUCAAUUGAUUUGACGUCUCCAUGAGCCUAGUUGAUAUGGCGUAUCAACUUUAUGUCAACUCAAUUCGGGAGAAAUAAUUAUCCGUCCACUCCAUAGACGCGGCUGAUUGACGCCUAUGAGCAGACGUGUCACACCGUCAGAUGCGUACACAUGUCCCACAUCCAACGGUUCUUCUCAUUUAUAAAUACCCAGGGUUUGAAAGAGGUAAAGGUAAUGAAACUCUUACAACAUAACUUUCCACAACAAGCAAAUACAUAUUCUCCUUCCCUCUACUUUGCACAACCUUAGUAUUGAUCUGACCACCUGAAACUUACUUGACCGUUGGAGUGUAUGUGAUCGCCACCACCCCCGUUGGUUCUAGCCGUGUGCAUCUGACCGUGCAUUGACUGUACGCAAAGAGGAAUACGUGGAAUAGUUAUCGGUUGGUCACGUGAAAGGUCCAAUUUGCGAGGUUAACACCUACAUCUCCAAAAAGAAUAUUCAGAUGCUACCAACCAUAAUUUGAAAGAAUUUUUUUAGUAAAACAAUCCAAGUAUAUUGGGAUUCCACAUGGAGAAUAUGCUUUUAAUAUGAAGAAUUUGGCUCAAACUGAGGUCCUUGGAAAGGGAAUUGAAGAGCAAUUUGUAUUUUGUCACCGAGAAAAUAUCUAUUAAUGCCGUUUUGUCUAUACUCUCUCUAUCUUAAAUGGGAAAUUAAUUUUUUGCACAUGUUUAUUUCUUUUAGUAUGAGACAUUGCAUGUAUUGGCCUUUUACACUUUAGUUAAAAUGUAGACAGAUUGAGUGGUCCAUAUGGAAACGCUAAAGAAUUUUCCAAGAUGACGCUAGGCUGGCCUUGGAGAGCGCUUGACAUCAUUGUUAUAUUUCUCCGUAAAGAAACAAACUUUAAAAGUUAAUUAUGUUGACUGUUCAAAACUCUCUAUGCGAGAAAGACGAUUGGUUAAAGUAAUACGGGUAAAUGCAUCUUGUAUUAGUGAUGAAUUUAUUUGCACUUACAUACAGUGGCGGAUCUAGGAUUUUGAAUCAAUGCGGGUGACUGUUGACCCAAUAAAAUAUUACGAGCUCGUUUGAUGUAAUUUGAUGGAAGAUAUGUGGUUAAAAAUAAGGAAAAGUUUUGAAUUUCAUGUAAUAUUAUUUUAUAGAAAAAUAUAUGGUUGAAAAUAUAAGAGAGAAAAAUAUAUUCUGAAAUAAAUUGGAAUCAAACAAGACCUAAAAUUUAAACAUAACAAUUAUUUUGUUGAAAUUGAACAUAUAUAAUUUUGUUAAAAGAAUAAAUCAUACUCAUCAAAUGACAUUGUUGCCAAGUUUUAUAUAAUUCAAAAGAAGAGCACAUGUUCAAAUCUUUGUUUCAUUAAAACAAGCUAAGAUCUAAUAUAUUAAAUUUGUUAAAUAUAUUAUCACAAUUCGACAAGUGGUAUAAUGGUCAAACUACUAAUAAUUUUACAAUGGCUCCAGGUUCUAAUACCCUCCUCCCCAUUCCAUUAAUUUUAAAUUGUAAAACUAAAAAAAUUGAACAAUAAAAGUUGAUUGAUAAAGGAUCGAACCUGGGACUUGCAAGAUGUAUAAGCCAACACUAACCAACUUGGCCAAAAGGAACGUUUGAAUGCAAAAUGAUUAUCAGAAAUAUAACCUAAAAAAUUCAUCUAUUUUCAACCAAAAAUAAUGGCUACCGGCAGAUUGAGCACGUGCGGCCCCAGGUGCUUGCGAAGUGCUGGAUCCUCUAGUGCUUGCAUAUAUAGUAUUGUACUUGGGAACAUUCAAUUUAAUAAUUUUGAAGAAUUGAAUAUUCCAAUAAUAAUAAUAUAAAGAUUGUUAACUUUCAAAGUGUUUAGAAAUUGAUUAUAUUCGCUUGUUGAAUUGAUAAAAAAAAAAAUAGGAAUAAUGUUAUUUAUCAUUAUCAUGAUAGAACAUUGGUGAUGUGACAGUUUACGUGAAAUAAUGAGAUUUGACAGAUCAAUUUUAUGAUAGAAGGGAGGAGAUAUGGUCUCAAAACAGAAAGAAAUGUGAGGAAUAAUGAGUUGUCACAUCACUGAUGUUCCAUUGUCAUGAUGAUAAAUGGCAUCACUUCAAAAAUAGCAAGAACUCCAACCCGAUUUCAAGAUUAUCGAGGAAACUUAUUCACCAUUCUUUUGAGUGCUUCAUGUUUGGCUAAGCCUCGUAAGUUUAUUUAUAAGUAAAUAAUAAUUCUCCAUUUUAUUAAUGAAUAUUUGACAUAUAUAAAUUCAAUGUUUUCAAAACUCGACUAGCUCAACUUGAAAAUUUGGUUACCAGACUGAAGUCCGAUUCAAUUCUAGUGCAAAAACUGAAGGUUAAGAAAUCGGUGUAAAAGCCAGAAACCGUUUGGUUCAACAUAAAAACCAAUGAGCUAAACUCUAUUUUUAAUGGUUCACUGAUAUUUCGUACCCCAAAAAAUAAAAAUAAAAAUAAAUUUAAAAUGAAGAAAAGGAAGAAGUUUCCUUCAUUACUGCUUCUGAACUAGAGCUCCAAUAUCCAUUGUGAAAUCUUUCAAAUCCAAAACAAUCUUAUACAAAUACAUAUAUUUUACGUUUUUAUAUACAAAUCAAAAAUAAUAUUUAUGUUGUUACAUAUAAAUACAUAUAUUUGUAGGAGAAGAGAAGACUGAGAAAGAAGAUGGAAAGAUGGCGGAAUAUGAUGUUGAACUUUUGCCUCUGUAGAGAGUGUGUGUGUGUGUGUGUGUGUAUAUAUAAGAUUUAUAGAAAAUUAAAGAGAGUAUUGAGUAGGAUUAAAGUUAUUAAAAGUUUAAAGUUUAAAUAGCCAUUUAAAACAGUAUACCCCCCCAAUUGGUAUCAGAGCCAAAAAAGAAAGUAGUGAUUGGGAUAGAAAAGGCUUAUAAUAUUAGAACUUACAGGUAUUAGAAAUAAUAGAUUGUCUUACCAAGUAAAAUAUAGUAUAGAUAUUUGUGGUUAUUUUGAGGAAGAUAAUAUAGUUGGAGCCUGGAGUAAAGAUUUAAUUGAAAUCUUAGAAAUAUUUAAAGUUCUUAAAUAUUUACCUUUUGAAUUAAGAGAAAAUAUAGUAAAAAGAGUCUUAGUAGAAGAAUACAGACAUAUUUUUAUAACAGAACAUAUUUAUUACGAUUUAGAACUCUGGAUAUCAAUAGAAAGCUUGAAUUCUUAGAUUUAGAAAUUUUAAGAAAUACUAGUAAAAAAGUACAAACAGUUGAUAAUAAUAUAAUUAAGUGUAAUUUAGAUAAUAAGCAUAAAUUACAUAGUUUAUUUUCAGAAGAUCCAAGUCAGAAUUGUAUUGUAGACUUGAUCAUAAAUUUAUCAAGAAAUUUAGAACUUGAAAAUAAAAAGCAAAAUAGUUAUCUAGAAAUUAUAAAAGAAAACAUUACAGUUAGAGACCAAGAGAUUAAAAAUAUAAAAGAAUCUUUAGAUUAUAUUAAAAAUCAAAAUUCAAGAAUUUUAGAAAAACUUGUUAAACUAGAAAAAAUACCAUCUAAGGUAGAUUUAACAGAAAUAAAAAGAAUUUUAGAUUCAAAUAAAUCUAAAGAGAUAGAUAGAGGAACUACAUCAAGUGUAGAAAAAGACCUAAAAUCAUUAACAAAUACUCUAGAAAAACUAAGUUUUAAAGAAAUAGAAAAAGAAAAGGUAACUAGGAAAUUACUUAAAGAAUACAAAUUUCCAAGAUGAAUACAAAUCCUUUUCUAGGAAGAUCUAGAACUAUAAAUGAAGAAGCAUCUACAUCUAGAAAUAGUACUUCAAGUAUAAGCAGAAAUAUAAUAGAAAGAGUUUUAAACAGACCAGUUCAAUAUAAUCAAAAUAUAGAAGAAAUCAUAGAUCCUCAACAAGAUUAUCAAAGAUUUCAGGCUAAUGGAUUAAGAAUUCUCAACCCAGAAAUACUAUAUAAUAGAGGAAUUUUUGAAACAAGAACACAAUUUUUUAGACAUAGUAGAGAAGUAUAUGUUCAGUGUAUAGGAAAUCAGGUAAGAAAAUUAAAUUUAAUAUCAGAAGACUCUAAGAGAGAAUUAAAAAAGAAAAACUUUAGAUUUAUGCAUUUAGGAUUAAUAGUUAUAGGUAUAAAAGGACUAAUGAGAAAAAAUUUAGGAUGUAAAGUGUUAGUUACUAUAUAUGAUGAAAGAAUUAAUAAUAUAGAUAAAAGUAUGAUUGCUAGUACAGAAGUAGAUAUGAACAAUAAUAAUGGUAUAAUUUAUUGCAAUCCAGAUUUCUUAUUAACUAUUAAAGAUUUUUCAGAUAAAAUUAAAAUAGGAAUACAAACAAAAGGAUAUGAAGAAGUAGAAAGUGGAGAUAUUUAUUAAUUAGCAUAGGAUUUUUAGGAAGAUGUUCGAAUAAUUCCCAAACAAAAUAUAAGAUAUAUAUAGACAAAGUAGUAAAUUUAAUGAGUAGUAAAUGAAUUAAUAUGGUUAAGUCUAAAGAAUAUUCAUCAGAACAAUUGGCAGGAUUAGAAUGGGAUAUGGAUAAAUUUUUAGAAAAUCAAGAAACAAUUAUAGCACCACAGGAAGCAUUAACUUAUAAAGAUAUUCAUGGAAGAACUAGUCUAAAAUUUUUAGAUUAUAAUCAAGUACAAAGACAGAAUGAUUUUGAAAAAGAAACCAAUCCUGAUGAAGAACAAAAUGAACCAUUUCAAAAUCAAGUUCAUAUAGAAUCAAUAGAUGAGGAAUUUGAUAGAAUAAUUUAUCCAAAAGAAUUAGGAAUGAAUUUAGAUAAUAAAGAACUAUCAGAAUUAGAUGACCAAAUGUAUCUUAAUAAGAUAAUUACAGAAUCUAAAUAUUUAUAUUAUGACCAAGAACAGAGUAUAAGAAUAGGAACCAUUAAAGAAGAUAAUGAUUCAGAUAAUUCAGAUUUUAGUUAUAUAAAAGAACUUAUGGAAGACUCAAAUACAUAUAGAACUUUUAGUGAUACUCCUUUUGAUAGAACAGUUAAACAUGAAACAAUGGUUUAUAGUGGAGGAUUUCCUCCAAGAGGAGCUUAUCCUUUAUAUAAUAAUACAGAAAGAAAAUAUAUAGCAAGAGGAAGUGAAAGACCCUUAGAAAAGAAAAUAGAAUUUCAAUCAGAUCAUAAAACACAAAUUUUAAAUAUUACAGCACAUGAUCCACAGACAUGGAAUAAUGUAAUAGAUGUAUGGAAGAACACUAUAAUAGGACAUUAUAUUAGAAACUUUCAAGAAAUGAAAUCUUUAGAUAUGUAUAGAUAUUUUGAAACAUUUUUAGGAGAAAGCGUAAAAGCAAUGUGGGAAGCAUUCAAAUUAGAAAAGAAACAAGAAUUUGAACAACUAGUUAGUAUGGAAAGUAAUCCUUAUAAUUUUGUUAAUAAAAUACAAAUCUUAAUAACAGGAGCAGAUCCAAAUUCAGGACAUAUGAGUAUACAAAGAAAAGCUAUGAGAGAUUUAGAACAACUUAGCUUUUAUAAAUGGACUAAAGAAAGAUAUGUUAAGAACUUUUUAAAUGAGUAUCAUUACUUAACUUCAAUAUCAGGAAAUACAUUUAAUCAAGAAAUAGGAAAUAAAUUAUUUCAUAAAUUAUCAGGACCAUUAGGAUUAGAAAUCACAGAUAAAUGGAAUAAUUUACCAGCAGUAAAAGAAGAACCAGAAAAACAAUGGAGUAUAGGACAAAGAAUACAACAUGUAAUAAGAUGUUUAGAAGAUAAAUGUGUAGAAUUACAAAUUCAAAAACAACUUAAAAAGACAUACUAUAAAUUUUGUAAAGACAUUUUCACCCCCACAAACUUAUGAAGCCUCUAGUUCAAGAAAAAAUAAGUAUAGUAAUAAAGAAAGAAAAAAUAAAAGAUCUUUUAAGAAAAGAUAUUUUCUUAGAAAAUCUAAUUAAAGAAAACCAUACUUAGAUGAAAAACGACGUGUUAGAAAAUUUAAACCAGAAAGAACUUAUAAAAAUAGACUUAGUUGUUACGUCUGUAAUAGUAAUGAACAUUUAUCCAAGACUUGUCCAAAAAGAAUAAAUAAUUACGAUAAAAAGAGUACAUUAAUAGAAUGCACUAAUGAAGAUUUAAUACAACUAGAUGAAUAUAUUUCAGAUAAAGAAUCUAUUUAUAGUAUUAUAUCAAUAGAAGACAGAGAUUUAGAAGAAAAUAAAGAAUCUGAUUAUGAAACAAUAGAUGAAUUCUCUAAUAUAAAAUUACAAGAAGAAUCAGAAUCAGAAGAAGAACUAAACUUAAUGAAUAGUAUAACUAUAGAAUGUCUACAUAAUUGGCAAAAAUAUAAAGGAGCAGAUAAUAUAGUUUGUUAUUUAUGUAAUUGGUACCCAGUUAGAAAAUUUAGAGCUAAAUGUUUAGAAUGUUAUAAAGAAGCAUGUAUAAAAUGUUUAGAAGAAAAAAAUCUUAUUGAAAAAGAAGAAGUUAAUUCAGAAAUCCUAAAAGAAAAAAUUGAAAUAUUAGAAAUAAAAAUUCUUAGGAAAAGAAUUGAAAGCCUAGAAGAAAUGCAAAAAUUUAUAAUAAAUAAGAUAGAAAUAUUAUAAUAUAACAAUAAAGGAAAAACAAUAGAAAUAGAAGAACAUAGUCAAGGUACAGAAUAUAAAGAAAAAGAAUAUGUUCAAGUAAUAUGUAACCCAGAAAAACUUAAAAGCAUUAAGGUAAAAUGUUAGAUAAAAAUAUGACAAUAUGAAAUAAAAUGUUUAGAAUUAAUAGACUCAGGAUGUAGUAAUUGUAUAAUUAAUAAAAAAUUAAUUCCAAAACAAUAUACAAUAUACUCAGACAAACCAAUAGAAGCACAACAAAUGGAUGGAGAACUCUAUACUUACACUGAAUUAUUACAAUCAAAUAGUAAGAUCAGUUUUGAGACAAACUGUGGUAGAAGUAUAGAAUAUACCUUACCAAAAGAAUCAGUUUGGGUUAAACCUUUAAAUAUUAAAGAUACAGAUUUUAUUAUAGGAUUAAGUUUUUUAUUAAAAGAUAAUGGAAGUGUUACAAUUACUAAAGACUUUUUACAUUUACAAAAACAUACCUUAUUUACACCAACACAGACUACCUAUUUCCCAUCAGAGUGCAUAGAGAAGCGUUGUGGAAAUAGAAAUAACUGUAAGUGUGAAAAAGAAAGAGAAUGUCAAUUAAUAGAAGAAGACAAUCUAAAAGAAAUAGAUUUUGAAAUUCUAAAAAAGGAUGAAUUGGAUAAUUUAGAAAACAUAGACUUUGGAACUAUAGAAUUAAUUGAUAAUGAAAAGAUUUAUAAUAUGUUAAUAACAGAACAAGAAAUAGAAAAUUUAAUAUCUAGAUUAGAAAAAAUAGAAAUUAUAGGAGAAAAUGUUUUAAAAUAUUGGGAAAAAGAUAAAAUCCUAUGUGAACUUAAAAGCAAAAAUUCAGAAUAUAUAAUUAAAACUAAAAAUAUUGAAGCUACAAACUUAGAUCUAGAAGAUUUUAAAAUACAUAUAAAAGAACUCUUAGAAUUAGGAGUUAUUAGAAAAUCAGAUAGUCCUCAUAGAUCAGCAGCUUUUAUAGUCAGAAAACAUUCAUAAAUUAUUAGAGGAAAGAGUAGAAUGGUAAUUAAUUAUAAAAGACUUAACGAUAAUACCAUAGAUGAUACUUAUAAUAUACCAGACAAGACAGUGUUAAUAAAUAAAAUACAAGAUUGUAAAAUUUUUAGUAAGUUUGAUUUAAAGUCAGGAUUUUGGCAAGUAAAAAUGCAUCCAGAAAGUAUUAAAUGGACAGCAUUUACCUGUCCAGAAGGACAUUUUGAAUGGCUUGUAAUGUCAUUUGGAAUUAAGAAUGCACCUAGUAUUUUUCAAAGAAAGAUGGAAAGUAUUUUUAAUAAACAUAGUAAAUUCGUAAUAGUAUACAUAGAUGAUAUUUUAGUAUUUAGUAAAAAUAAACAAGAAUAUAGAGGACAUUUACAAAUAGUAUUUUCAGAAUUUAUUAAACAUGGCUUAAUAAUUAGUAAAAAGAAAAUAAUUUUAUUCAAAGAAUUUAUAGAUUUCUUAGGAGUUAACAUAGGAGAAUGUAAAAUAAAGCUACAACCUCAUAUUGCUAAGAAAGCUUUAGAAUUUUCAGAUAAAUUAGAAGAUUUAAAACAAAUCCAAAAAUUUUUAGGAUUAGUAAAUUAUGCUAGACCAUUUAUAAAAGAUUUAGGAAAAAUAGCAGGACCUUUAUAUGCAAAAACAUCUCCUACAGGACAAAGAUUCUUUAACCAAGAAGAUAUAAAAUUAGUCCAACAAAUAAAAGAAAAAAUAAAAAAAUUGCCAGAAUUAGCUACGCCAUUAGAUUCAGAAUAUUUAAUUAUAGAGACAGAUGGAAGUAUGAUAGGAUGGGGAGCUAUAUUAAUAUGUAAACCCAAUAAAUAUACUGAUAAAAGUACAGAAAGAAUUUGUAGGUAUAACAGUGGAAACUAUAAAGAGAAAGGAAAUUUAAGUAGCAUAGAUGCAGAAUUAUUAGCUAUAAAUUAUGCAUUAGAUAGUUUUGAGUUAUUUAUUAUAUCUAAGAAAGAAAUAACUAUAAGAACAGACUGUGUAGCUAUAGUCUCAUUUGUUAAUAAAAUGAAAAUAGACUCAAAAAGAAGUAGUAGAAGAAGAUGGUUAAAUUUUAUUGAUAGAAUUACAAAUAUAGGAUUUAAUAUAGAAUUUGAGCAUAUUAAAGGUAGUGAUAAUAAAGCGACAGAUAUACUGAGUAGAAUAAUAAUAGAUAAAAAUUAUUAAACUUGUUUAACAUAAUUUUGUUAUAUAGAUGACAAGACCAAGGCUCUUAAGACCAGGAAUUCCACCAGGAAAUUCAUUUGCAUCAAGUUCCUUACCUCAGACUCCAUUUAAUCAGAACAGACCAAUGUUACAAGACAGGAUAAGGUUUGGAAACCAAGAACUUAUAGUUUUCCCAAAUAGUAAUAUUUCCUUUAAAAUUUUACCGCAUAUAUCUUUAUCUAGAGAAGAGAAAUGUAUUUUAGACAAUUUAUGGAUUUCUUAUAAUAAGAAUCCAAAAGAUCAGAAAUAUUUUCUUACAUGCAUGAAUGCAUUAUCAGAACAUUUUAGUCAGAACAAGCAAAGAUUUAAAUUUUAUAUUGUUGUUAAAGGUAAAAAUUCAGGAAUUUUUCAUUCUUGGAUAGAAGUUUUAGAUUGAAUUAAAAAUUUUCCAGAUCCUCUUUACAAAGGUUUUACAAAUUUUCAAGAAGUAUUAAAUGCAGCAAGACAACAUAUAGGAAUAAAUUUUUAUUUAUCUCCUUCCUUAAAGAACUAUUCUGAUCCUCCAUUAGACUUUUCUCCAAGCAAAGACCAGAAUAUUUUUUGCCAACAUUGUGAGUGUAUGCAGAGAAAUUACAAAGUUAUUAAUGAAGCCAACCAGAACCUCUCAUUAGAAAGAACCCAACUUCAAAAGAAAAUAGCCCAACUUGAAAAAGAGAUUUUGGAUCUAAAAGUUCAAUAUCAAAUAGGUACUAUGGAGCCCAAGAAGUCCAUAACUAGUCCGCCCAAACGGUAGCUGGUAAAGACUUAUCAAACCCGUUAAAGGUUGUGGACUUACCAAAAGCCCAACAGACUCAGGGGACUGUUGAUUCCUCUACUAAAAUAGAUAAUCAGACUCAGCAGACUGAUAAAUCUGCUACAGAAAAAGGUAAAGAGAUUUGGGAUCUUUUAGGACAGCCCAGCGGAAAAUUUGAUUAUUUAGUAAAGUAUAGUCCACCAGAACAUUUUUCAUCAGAACACUUUUCAAAUAAUCCAGACUUCUCACAAGCUCAAGAAAAUCAGCCCAGUAAGGGAAAAGAAAAAAUUGUGACCCAAGAUAGUCAAGACCCUCUAUUUAUUCAAGAAGCACAAGAUCCUAAUCAAGAUAUUGUCUCCUUAGAAAAGAUUUUUGAAAAAAUUGAAGAAUUUCAGAAACAAUCCAAAAAAGAUGAAGGAACUUCUUCCAGAAAAAAGAAAAAGAUUAAGAAGAAGAAAAAUGAUGAAGGACUGAAAGAACAAAUCAGAGAGGCAGUGAACCAAGCAUUUGAGACAAUUUUAAAAAAGAGCCAUGAAGAAGAAAAAGAAAUUGCAGAAUGUCCAGAACAAAAAGAAAAAGAUGAAGCCAGUUAUUCCAGACUUUCAGAUGAAGAAGAAGAUCCACAAGAAGAAGGAUACAAUAAUUCAGAUAGUGGAAUGUCAUUUUCAUCAGUGGCACGCCAUAAUCUCCGUACAUGAUCAAAUCUUCAAUAAUUCAGAAAAGACAAAUUUUGCCAGAAGAAAAGAAGAAAAAGGAAGAAGACCCAAAAAUCAAGAUUGAAGACUUUUGGGGAAAGAUGUAAUGAAUCCUUUGAAAAAAGAAAAGAUUCUCCGAGAAAGGAAAAAAAUUUCAAAAGUAGGAAAGAUUUUUAAGACUUCUAGAAAAAGUUGGUGAAGCUUGUAAUAUCUUAAUCAAUAUGAUUGUAUAAUUAGAUCAAUACUUUAUCCUAAUUACUAAUGUACUGUUGUUAGGUAAAUGGAAUGCAUAUGUGGCAUUUUUCUAUUAGGAGUUGGAUCAAUAAUUGAGUAAGGUGGGGUCGAAGUUAUUUAAUAGGCGCUUUUGGUUUUACUUUAGAAAAUUGAUAAAAAUUUAAUACAUUUCAUGAUACUCACUUUUUUUUUUAAAUCAAAUUUUCAAUUACAUAUUUAUUAAUUUUUAUUAAAUAUCUGCUAAAAAUUACUUUUUAACAAAAUUGAACACGGUUUAGAUGUUAUUGUAUUAUCUGAAAGAUUAAAUUCUUGAAGAGUACGUAACGCUACAAAUACUUUGCAUCAAUUCUAUCACCACCUAAAUUGAUAUUAAGCACCCGAGUCUAUGUAGCAGUGUGGACUUGUACUAAGAACCCGUUGUAGUGCUUACUAAAUUGAUAGAGGAAUUUUCACCGGUACUAACAAGUUCAAGUGGCCAUCUUUUUUAUGAAAAAUAUAAAUUCGUACGGAAGAUAAAAAAAUAUAAAAUAAAUUUAUUAUUUGUGAAACAAUUAGACAUGCACACGCUCAAGGCUUCAAAAUCCAUUUACAUAAUUGAAUGUGAUAGUAUUGAAAAGUGUGAAAAUACAAAUAUAAAGAAAUAAUCAUUAUUUGAUUGCAAUUGAUUGAUUAAGGGGGAAAUUCUUUUAAUGAAAGUGACUUGAAAGUAAAUUAGUAAUUAGGGAUGUAAAAGAAUUUACUUUUUGGAAUUCUUGAAUCAGUGACGUACUUCAACAUUAGAAUGUGAUAACUGAUAAGUCAACAUCGAGUGCCAAAUGAGUUAUUACAACCUUAAGAAGUUCUUCGAAAUAAAGUAUUCCAACUUAUCUACAUCUCCAAAGAGAAUAUUCAGAUGCUGCCAAUCAUAAUUUGAAAGAAUUUUUUCCUAAUAUAUAAAAAGGGGAAUGUGAUGGCACUGUAGAAAAUAACAGUGUCUUGAUCCAUGUUUAUUGUAGCAUUUUUGUUUUUUUUUUUACAAUUGGGGGCCAAAAACGACGCCGUUUGCUUGAUAUAUAUUUUAUUUUACUAUACACUACCUCCAAAUUUACUGCAACACGCAAUUUCCAUUCUUCCCCCAUUCCGAUAUAGAUAUAUGUAGUGGGGAUAUAAGAAAAAAAUCACUUUUAUAUAUAAAAAAAGAUAGAGAAAAUAUGCGACAGAAUUUUCUUUACAACAUAUUACUUGUAAGUAAAAAAUUUGAAGAGAAAAUAAUUAACGAGAAUUUUAAAUUGAAAAAAAUUAUAACGUAAAACUGCACAAAAAAAAAAGUAAUCUCUCCGUGCACGGAGGAAAGAGACAAAAAAAAUAAAAAAUAAAAUUAGGAAGGACUCCGUGCACAGAGACCAUGGCUAUCCAUGCACGGAAAGAGAAAUAAUUUUUUUAUUUUUUUAUUAUUUAUGGUUUUGUGUUUAUUUUUAGGCUCAUUACGAGAUAUCAAACGAAAUCGAAAUAUUACAUUGUUAAUAUCGUUUUGAAAUACUCGCGGCAUAGUAUUGCACGUCGUUAACGGUGCAUGAAAUGGUCAAUCGUAGCAAAUGUUAUGGGACGUCAAAGUAGAUAUUUUCAAACUAUAUUUUGAAAUUUUCGAUAACAAGCAAACUUUAAAAAUUUAUCGACGAUUGUACAAUAAUCGAAUCGAUAAAUAUUUUACAUUCUCUCGAAACUCAUUUUGAGAACUAUAUUAUAGAGACAUCGAAUGAUCUAAAUAGAUAUAAAAAAUAGUUAAACAGACAUUAAACAUAUGUGUUAAAAAUACCCAUAAGUCGUUUUUUCUUUAAAAAAUCAAUUAUUUUAUUACUAUUUUGAAAUUUUCGAUAAUAAGCUAACUUUAAAAAUUUGUCGACGAUUGUACGAUAGUCGAAUCAAUAAAUAUUUUACAUUCUCUCGAAAUUUAUUUUGAGAACUACAUCGUAGAGAUAUCAAAUGAUCUAAAUAAAUAUCGAAAAUAGUUAAACGAAGAUUAAACGUAUGUGUUAAAAAUGCGUAUACGUCGUUUUUCUUUAAAAAAUUAAUUAUUUUAUUACUAUUUAUUCUUUUUUCGCAACAAUUUUCUUAAUGCAUCAUUUUGCUUAAAAAAAUUAUGUGGUAUAACAGAAAUUUUUUUCUCCAUGCACGGAAUGAAUAUGUUUUUUUCGUUGUUUUAUAUAUUGAAUUAUUACUAGAAAAUUAAAUUUUAUUUCAAACAAUUAAAAAAUACUGAUUAAUAAUAAAAAAUUUGAAGAAAAAAAUUAAAAAGAAUUCUUAAUUGAAAAAAAUAAUUAUUUAUAACGUAAACCUAUACAGAAAAAAAUUCUCAAAUCUAAGUUUCUGUUUGGAAUUAUUAAGAGAAAAGAAUUAUAAAUUGAAAAAAAAAUUAUAACGUGAACAACAAAAAUUAAAAUUCUUUUUAAUUCUUUUUUCUUCAAAUUUUUUACUUAAAAGUAAAUUUUUGUAAAAUAUUUUUUUAUUUUUUUUUAUAUAAAAGUAAUUUUUCUUUCUUAUAUCCCAACUAUAUAUAUCUAUAUAAGAGUGGUUGAGCAUGGAGUGAUGGGAGAUAUGAAAAUUACGUGUUGCAGCAGUUUCUUACAGUAUAAUAAAAUACUUUAAAGUAAAAAAUUUUUAUAUAUUUUAUUACUAUAAAAUUAAAUAUUAUCUAAAAUUAUUAAAAAAAUAAAAAUACUAAUAAUGUAAGAUAGAAAAUAUUUCUAAGAGGUAAAAAGUUACUUGUGAGUAAAAAAAUUAAAGAGAAAGAAAUUAAAAAAAAUUUAAGUUGAAAAGAAAAAUUAUUCAUAAUGCAAAUCAAAGCUAAGUUUCUGUUUGGAAUUAUUAAGAGGAAAGAAUUUUAAAUUGAAAAAAAUUUAUAAUGUAAACAACACAAAUAUUUAAAAAAAAUAGUUAAACGGACAUUAAACGUAUGUGUUAAAAAAUACGCAUAAGUCGUUUUUCUUAAAAAAAUCAAUUAUUUUAUUACUAUUUCAAAAUUUUUGAUAACAAGCUAACUUUAAAAAUUCGUCGACGAUUGUACGAUAGUCGAAUCAUAAAUGUUUUAUAUUCUCUCGAAACUCAUUUUGAGAACUAUAUUGCAGAGGUAUCGAAUGAUCUAAAUAAAUAUCGAAAAUUGUUAAAUAGACGUUAAAUGUAUGUGUUAAAAAAUACGUAUAAGUCGUUUUUUCUUUUAAAAAGUCAGUUUUUUUCAAUUAUUUAAAAUUUCAUUUUUUUCAAGUGGAGAGCAAAAAUGGCGCGUUCCUCCGUGCAUAGAGUGCAUAUAUAUUUUUUUUUUACAUUAUUAUAGAUAUAGAAAAAAAACUAUAUCAUCGUAGUUGGAUAUAUCUAAUAAUUUCAGAAAAUAUCUAAUUUUAUAGUAAUAUUUUUAGUAAUAUUGAAUUUUUUAAAUUAAAUUUAUCUAAAUAUUACUUUAGAUUAAAUAUUAACUCAAAGUUUUAAGUAUAUUUCUUUACAUAGUAAAAAGUUUGCUUUAAGUUGUAAAAAAAUAAAAAAUAAAUAAUAUAUAUAUAUAUGUAUAUAUAUAUAUAUCAUUGUAGUUAGUUUAUAUAGUAUAAAGAAGUAUUAGCUUUUAUCUAAAAAGGAAGAAAAAAAAGAGAAAAAAUAAGAGGACUCUGUGCACAGAUAGAGAAAUGAUUUAUUUUUUUUUACUUAUAUUUUUGUGUUCAUUUUCAGGAUUACGGGAUAUCAAACGAAAUCGAAAUAUUAUAUUCUUAAUAUCGUUUUGAAAUACUCAUGGCAUAAUGUUGCACGUUGUUAACGGUGCGUGAAACAAUCAAUCGUAGGAAAUGUUAUGGGACGUCAAAGUAGACAUUUUCAAAUUAUAUUUCUAAAUUUUCGAUGAUAAGUUAACUUUAAAAAUUCAUCGACGAUUGUACGAUAGUCGAAUUGAUAGAUGUUUUACAUUCUCUCGAAACUCAUUUUGAGACCUAUAUGGUAGAGAUAUCGAAUGAUCUAAAUAAAUAUCGAAAAUAGUUCAACGGAGAUUAAACAUAUGUGUUAACAAAUGCGUUUUUUCUUUAAAAAAAUCAAUUAUUUUUUUCUUUUUAAUUCUUUUCUCUUCCAAAUAAAACUUAAUUUUUUAGUUUUAACAAAAAAAGUUACUUGUAGGUUAAAAAAAUUGAAGAGAAAAGAAUUUAAAAAAUUAUAUAUAGUGUAAUCUCCGUGCACGGAGGAUAAUUCAAUUUUUUUUUUUUUUUUACUUCUCCGUUCUCCAUUUUCAUACGCUAUGGCCACACAUUUUCAAAUCAACUCAUUUGCUUAUAUUAUUAUAUUAUAUAUAUAUUGUAAGAGAGGCAAUGUGAAUCUAUGUAACACGCAACUUUCCAUAUCUCCCGCCUUAUUCCGUGCUGACCACUUUUAUAAGUUAAAAAAAAAUUACUUUUAGUAAAAUAAAAUUUAGAAAUAAACAUAUUAACAAAAAAUAUUUCUAAUAUAUGUAAAAAUUACUUAUAUAAGUAAAAAAAUUCGUUUAAAAUUAUUUAGAAGUAAAAAAUAAAAUCAAGUUAUGAAAAUUAAAUGAAGAAUAUAUAAUUAUUAUUUAAUUAAAAUUGAAAAUUUUACUUUAUAAAUAAUUGUUUUUUUAUCAAUUUAUUUAAAUUUCUUUUUAAUUCUUUUCUCUUUCAAAUAAAAUUUAUUUAAAUUUUUUUAAAUUCUUUUACCCUACCAACCUUGGAGUGAUUGUUGUAUCGUCCGAAAAAUAGGCCUGCUAUUAGGGUUCUAAUUCUUACACUAACAAGAGAGUUGGCCAUCCACUAAGUGCCACUUUAAGUUAUUUUAUUUGCGAACCUGAGUUUGUUAUUUAAAUAUUUGUGUAUGUGAAUAUUCUCUUUCAAUUUACAACUGCAUGGGUUAUUUUUGAACUACAAGUAUAGCCUCUCAAAUUGAAGUUGCUAAAGAAAAGCAUUUUACAAAAUUCAAUUUACAACUUAUUUGCAAUAUCAGAUAAAAAAAAAUCUUCAUCUACAUUAAACAAAAAAAAUAAUUAAAAAUAAAUUAUCGUUGACAUAUAUAGAAUCACAACAUUCAUUAUACUUAUUUAUAAGAAUAAAAAUAAAUUAUCAUGACAUAAAAUAUAUAGUCGACCAAAAGAUAAGAAUCAAAUAAACAUUUCUUAUUUCCAAAUAUUUUUUGUACAAUCUAUAAAUUUUAUGCUAAUAAAAUCAAAAUAAAUACAAAAUAUGUGCAACUCACGAGACGUAGACUAGUUAUGGUAAAACAAUCUAAGUAUAUUGGGAUUCCACAUGGAGAAUAUGCUUUUAAUAUGAAGAAUUUGGCCCAAACUUAGGUCCUUGGAAAGGGAAUUGAAGAGCAAUUUGUACUUUGUCACCGAGAAAAUAUCUAUUAAUGCUGUUUUGUCUAUACUCUCUCUAUCUUAAAUGGGAAAUUAAUUUUUUGCACAUGUUUCAUUGCAUGCAUUGGCCUUUUACACUUAAGUUAAAAUGUAGACAAAUUGAGUGGUCCAUGUGGAAACGCUAAAAGAAUUUUCCAAGAUGACGCUAGGCUGGCCUUGGAGAGCGCUUGACAUCAUUGUUAUAUUUCUCCGUAACAAAACAAAAUUUAAAAGAUAAUUGUGUUGAUUGUUCAAAACUCUCUAUGCGAGAAAGACGAUUGGUUAAAGUAAUACGGGGAAAUGCAUCUUGUAUUAGUGAUGAAUUUAUUUGCACUUACAUACAAUGGCAGAUCUAGGAUUUUGAAUCAAUGCAGGUGAUUGUUGACCCAAUAAAAUAUUACGAGCUCGUUUGAUAUAAUUUGAUGGAAAAUAUGUGGUUAUAAAUAAGGAAAAGUUUUGAAUUUCGUGUAAUAUUAUUUUAUAGAAGAAUAUAUGGUUGAAAUAUAAGAGAGAAAAAUAUAUUCUGAAAUAAAUGGGAAUCAAACAAGAUCUAAAAUUUAAACAUAAAAAUUAUUUUGUUGAAAUUGAACAUAUAUAAUUUUGUUAAAAGAAUAAAUCAAACUCAUCAAAUGAUAUUGUUGCCAAGUUUUAUAUAAUUCAAAAGAAGAGUACAUGUUCAAAUCUUUGUUUCAUUAAAACAAGCUAAGAUCUAAUAUAUUAAAUUUGUUAAAUAUAUUAUCACAAUUCGACAAGUGAUAUGAUAGUCAAACUACUAAUAAUUUUACAAUGGCUCCAGGUUCUAAUACCCUCCUCCCCAUUCCAUUAAUUUUAAAUUGUAAAACUAAAAAAAUUGAACAAUAAAAGUUGAUCGAUAAAGGAUCGAACCUGGGACUUGCAAGAUGUAUAAGCCAACACUAACCAACUUGGCCAAAAGGAACGUUUGAAUGCAAAAUGAUUAUCAGAAAUAUAACCUAAAAAAUUCAUCUAUUUUCAACCAAAAAUAAUGGCUACCGGCAGAUUGAGCACGUGCGGCCCCGGGUGCUCGCCAAGUGUUGGAUCCUCUAGUGCUUGCAUAUAUAGUAUUGUACUUGGGAACAUUCAAUUUAAUAAUUUUGAAGAAUUGAAUAUUCCAAUAAUAAUAAUAUAAAGAUUGUUAACUUUCAAAGUGUUUAGAAAUUGAUUAUAUUCGCUUGUUCAAUUGAGGAAAUCGAAAUUUAAAUUCUAUCAUAUCAUCAAGAUUCCAUUCAAUGAGUUCAUCUCUAUUAUAGGAAACUUGAUAUUUUUUCUUCUCCUCGUAUAACAUAUCAGGAUAAGAAGGACGAGAUUAAUAAUUUGGAAGAUUUGAAUUUUAACCUUUCAAUUAAUUAAUGAAAGUUUCUCAUUCUCAACAAAUUGAUUUUCAAGAUCAUUAAGAUCAUCAAUUGUAUUAAUAUUUUUUGGAUGAUCCUAAUUUAGAAAUUUGUUUUGCAAGUUCUUGCAAAAUACUGGAUUCGGUAAGGGUAGUUUCUUUCCCUAGUUUUGGAACAAAUUUCGACUCUAUUGGUUUGAAAAUAAGAGAUUGUUUUUCAUCUUUAUUAGAUGAAGAUGCCUCAGUCUCAAAAUUGGCUUUAAUUCUAGAUAAUUGAGAACACAUAUUUUGAAGAAUAAGAUAAGUAUAAUUAUUCUGAAAUUGAAUAUUUUUUUAUAUCUUUUACUGUAGUGUAAAAUUCCUCUGAUCUAUCAGCUAGGAGUUGUUUGAUUAGAGAUACAAAUAUUUCAAUGUUUCUUUGAGAAACAACUAUUUCUUGCAUGAGAGAAUGUGUAGAUUGAAAGGUUUGACCCGAAGGAGUUUUCCAUAUUUUCUUAUUAACAUGAGUGUUUUGAACAUAUUUUUUAAAAACUUUAAAAUAUGCCAAUUCAUUAAAACUUAUAUCUUCAUAAUAAUCAUAAAAUUCUUCCCAUAAAGAUUUAGUUUCAUCUUUUGAAAACAUUGAAUGAAGAGUUUGACCAAAACUUUUAACUGAAGGAGUUUGAUUAGUUUUGAAUUUAUUCUUUCUAUUUAUAGAAGAAAUAACAUUACAUUGUUAAUUUAUUCUUUUAGAAUGAUUUGGAUGAUAUCAGUUGGAUGAUAUCAGAUAGGGUUGGCGAACCAAACUGUUCUAAUUAAUUCUUGUUUGUUUAAAAACACUUUAAUCCAACAUUAUCUGUCAAUUCUCAAAUUACUCAAGAAAACAAGAAAAGUAAUAAAAAUUAAAAAUAUAAUUAUAUCAUUAAAUAGGAUGGGGAACUGCCAACCACAUUACUGUCCUUACUGGACGAAAUGUAAACGAUCGUCGAACCUAAAUUAAAAAUGAAGGCUUUUGUCUCCUAAAGGUUUUUAUUUAUGCAUAGAUGAAAAGGUAACAACGGAUUCAUUGGAAGCUAGGUUAAUCAAAUUUUGAAGGUCAACAAAUUCAAUUAUUAACUUACAAGUAAACAAAUCAGGACUAAAAUGAAACAACUCUAAUAGUUGAGUGACUAACUCUGUCUUUAUAAGUCCCAAUUCCCACGGCCCACGCACUCAACUGAUGACUUCUAUCACCAAGUUACCAUCUUUCCCUGCAACCUCUUUAUUACCCCCUUUUCCAUGAAUUCAUUUAACUCCCUAACCCAAAGAUAAAGAGUCAAAAUCAAAUCAAAUCAUCAUAAAUUGUAAAUUAGAAACUCCCAAAUUCAGAAGUUUACUCGUUUACCUCUGAAAUGGCGUCCGGUUUGUUACCAUUUCGGCCACUGACAAUCGUUAGAGCUAGUUUCAGCGCCGAUGACCGGAAACCUGAAGCUAAAAAAACUUCAUCGUCCCACUGGUGGGCUCCGCUGUUCAGAGUUUCGUCGGAGCCGGACUAUUUACAGUCUGACUAUAAGAAGAGCAACCCGGAUCCGGUAGAGGCGAGGUCUCGGUUCAGUCCGGGAUCUUUCACGGAGGAAAAGGCAAAGCAGCUCCGGAGGAUGACAACUAAUACGUCGUCGCAUGAUAUGUAUCACUCUGCCAUUGCAUCAAGGCUCGCCUCCGAUUUCGCCGAUCGGCGUACUACGUGAGUGUGUGUUUUUUAUUAAAUAAUUUGUAUAAAUAUUUAAAAAUUGUUAGAAGGCGAUGUGAUGAUGUGGAUCUGAUCCGUAAGCUUGUACUAUCUUAAUCAAUAUGAUUGUAUAAUUAGAUCAAUACUUUAUCCUAAUUAUUAAUGUAAUGUUGUUAGGUAAAUGGAAUGCAUAUGUGGCAUUUUUCUAUUAGGAGUUGGAUCAAUAAUUGAGUAAGGUGGGGUCGAAGUGAUUUAAUAGGCGCUUUUGGUUUAACUUUAGAAAAUUGAUAAAAAAAAAAU
Molecule: long non-coding RNA, 31647 nt
Filed under: Olea europaea (common olive)
Lineage: Eukaryota; Viridiplantae; Streptophyta; Magnoliopsida; Lamiales; Oleaceae
Description: long non-coding RNA (OEUR_LNC005327)
Source: RNAcentral